CAUACGAAGAUAACGGUAGGUUUGUGUUUUUUUGGUUGCGGAAGAAAUUGGAUUUACAAAUGGAAUUAUAAAUGUUUUAAGGAAAUUUACAGAUAGUUUCGAGUUUCUCGAGUAAGAACUUGGAUUGUAGUAAAGGAGAACUAAAGUAAAACUUGCUUAUCCGUUUAAUCUUCUAUCUAAGCUGUUCAGCCUCGGGUCGCGUGUACUUUUAGCCUGAACACGGAAGUAGAGUGAAUAUGUCAUGAUGUGCCAAAGAAGUACCAGUACUCACAGUAGCUCUUUGGAUGUUCAUAUAACGUGGAAAUCUAGGAAAAAUCAAAUGUUAGAUGUCAGGUCAUCUAAGUGCAAUCAGAUGAUGUUAUUCAACAUGCUGUGGCUGCAUUGAACUAGAAGUCAUUUCAGGAACAGAAUCCAGGGAUCAUAAGAGAAAUUUAUGUAUGUAUAGCCAAUGAUGAUGAUACCUGCUGGCCAAUCACUGCCAAAGAAUAACCUAUUCACAGAAAUAUGGCAUCUUUCACACAUAUGGAAUGGAACAUUUUUGCCAAGAUGCUACAUAAACUCUGACACCGAGAAUAUGGCACCUUUCCCACAUAUGGAAUGGAAAAUUUUUUCCAAGACGCUACAUAAACUCUGACACCGAGAAUAUGGCACCUUUCACACAUAUGGAAUGGAACAUUUUUGCCAAGACGCUACAUAAACUCUGACACCGAAAAUAUGGCACCUUUCACACAGUCAUAUGGAAUGGAACAUUUUUGCAAAGACGCAACAUAAACUCUGACACCGAACGUACAUUACGACUAGUAGGACAAUAAUGGUAACAUAAAUUACACCAUGUUAAAAACUCUUGUCUUCGGUAUUGCUGCAGCCGGUCAGAAUUUGGAUUUAAUAAAUGUAUUUCAUGAAGUCACUUACAGGACAGUACCUAUUGUCAAAUUAACUGUGUCAUAUGACAUAAGCCCUGCUAAGUCAUUACUAACACUAAGUCUUGUCAACAAAUAUAUUUAUUGCUUAGACUUUAUGAUUUGAUUUUUGUCGAAAAACAUAUGCAUAAUUUCUGCAGCAGAUCCUAGACUAGUGCAAUAUUAUUCUGAGAAAGAACAAAUUCAUAUUUCUGCAUGCAAAGCUAAUUUUCAUUACAUACACAGAGUUAGAUCUAAUCUUAGAAUUAUUCUGGUAGAUGAAAUAAAUAAGUUCUUUAACCAAAGUAAAAUUGAAAAUUUUGAUAUUAAAAGAUCGAAACAGUGAUGUCGGUCACACAUUAAACCGGAAUCCACCUAAAAACCGGAAUACACCGGAAUACACUUUGCAUAACCGGAAUACACCUGUAUUUUUUAAUUUAAAGGUAUUUCUGAAGUGUUUUUGAUAUAAUUCAAUCAUAUUUAUCAUAAAUAAUUAAAAUACGAAAGGAAAAUAAAAUACGUUCACGCAAAAUAAUUUUAUACGAGAUUGAAGUUUGGCGUCCGCGCCGGAAAUUUCCAUAACCGAAAUACACCCGUAUUCAAUAAUAAAUGGUAUUUUUGUAGGGGCUAUUGCAGAAAACAUUCGAGUAUAAUAUAAAAUAAUUAGUUUACAAAAGGAAAAUGAAAUACUUUAACGCAAAACGAUUUUAUACGAGAUUGAAAUUCGGCGAGCUUACGGAAAUGUUGCACGCUUACGUCGCUGUGACUAGAUACCGGAAUGUUGAUUAUUGGAAAUUAUUUAAUAGUUUCUUCACAUUUCAUGAUGUUACAAAUGACGUCACGUACCCGAUACGAAAAUUGCAUGCCAGUACUGUAAAACCUGCUUAAGCGGUCACCUCUAAUUAGCAGCCAACCUGUCUUAAGCAGCCUGUGUCUCUAUCAUUUCCCAAAAUGGUCAUUUAUUCUAUAAAUUACCUGCAUUAAGCAGCCACCUGCUGUAAACAGCCACUUAUCCCAACACCCUUGGCUGGCUGUUUAAGACAGGUUUUACUGUAUGGAAAAAUGUUGAUGUAUGUAAUUCGCAUUCGCCACUUGGAAGAGUAUAAAUAUGAGUAUGUAAUUCAGGUAUUGAUGUUUUCAAGCUUCUGUUUGAUUUGUCAGUUUGUAAUUUCUUUACUUUUCAAAUAUUACACAUCAUUCUAAAAUUCUUGAGUUGAGGUAGUAGGAACUUUUAUUCUGGAAUUCACUUUUAGACUGGUGUAUCCAGUGCCUGGCUUAUUUUCAUGUUGAAUGAUUCUAUACAGAUAUUUAUGUCGGAACAAUGCUGAAUUACCUGACGAUAUUAGUCGACAAGCGAGUAGGGAUAUUGCCCAUAUGAAAAAAUUAUCUCAAUAUUUCCUAGGAUGGCGUCAAAUCACUUGGACUACUGACUAUAUAUAUAUAAUCACACGGAAAUGGCAGUCAUUCCGUGUGUACUACAUUAUGACACAGUUGUAAAUGAUGAUGAUUAUUGUUGUUUGAACUUGCUGUAAAAUUGGAGCACUUGCACUUUAGCGGUCCCUAUAAUAAUAGUAGUUUAAUAAUGUCUUAAAUAUUAAAAGUUAAAAGAGGUAACUUUAUUUUCAGAUGAAUAUGUUUGGGGGCUGCCGCCCCCACAUCUCUGCUUUGCCCCACAUCCCCAACUUGCUGCGCAUGCGCAUUGUAAACUUCCAGGGACCACUAAAGUGCAUUCUACCCGUAAAAUUUAUUAUUCUAACACGAUCCGAUUCAUUUUCCUAUUAAACAAAGAAGACAGAAAACAGUGAAUUAUUAUACAACAAAUCACUGUUCUGAUGUCACAGUUAUUACGUCAUGGCGUCAAACGGCAUAGCGGCGCACUGGAAAAGAAACGGGCAAAUAUUUAAUGAAUGUCAGCAAGAAUCCUUGGUAACGUGUUAGAAUUGAAAUAAUACAUCUCAAUUAGUGAUUUGCUCUUGAAUAAAUCAUUGUUUGUCGUUCAGAUGCGUAUUAUUAUAUCAUUCGGGCUGCGCCCUCGUGAUACAAUUCCUUCGCAUCUGAACUCCAAACAAUGAUUUAUUCAACGACAAAUCACUGGAUGAGAUAUAUAAUUUCUUAAUUAUUUUUUAUUAUAUUGAUUUAUUUCAAAUUUACAACAUUUCACCGAGCACUGGAAUACACCUCGCGGCAAGUGCUGGUUUGACCGCUCUUAGUUGAAUUAAUUUUGUAUUUUAAAUUUGUUUUUAAAGAAAACUCCUGUUAAACUUUUUUUGCUGUUAUAUUCAUUUUAAAAAUACAAUUGUUGUUGUCAAUGUUUUUUAAUCCAGUCUUGAAAUUUGCUCACUGCAGUGCAGUAGGCUACUGUAUUGUUAUUAUUAGAAAUAAAUUUAUGAAGUGAUA
This is a long non-coding RNA of Mercenaria mercenaria, 3296 nucleotides long. RefSeq lists it as uncharacterized. The record is from RefSeq and is a predicted model, not a curated record. The transcript has 2 exons. NCBI's taxonomy places the organism in Eukaryota, Metazoa, Mollusca, Bivalvia, Venerida, Veneridae.